UAUAGGUUCAGGUUUCAUUUCUGUGUGAGGACAUCUUCAAGUAAGGGUGACAUGUUUCUCAGAAUCUGACAGCUCCUACCUUGAGCUGGUAUUCUGCUUAAUCUGGUAUGUAGCACCUGUGGGAGACCAGCGGAUAAACGGGAAGGUCGUCCCAGGCAAUAGAAUAAUCAGAGCCAGGUGUUAACAGUAUGGUAUGUAGCACCUCCGGAGACCAUCGGAUAAACGGGAAGGUCGUCCCAGGCAAUAGAAUAAUCAGAGCCAGUUGGCAAAGUAAGUUUCUGAGGACACCUAGAGGCAAAGAUGUUGACGGAGUCAUUGCCGAGUCGGGGUGGACUGUAGAGGGUAUAUAUAUACCUAGAGGUGCGAUCUCGAAUUGAAUCUAUUUUUUGAAUAUAAAAAAAACCGUUGGAAGACCAAGGGCCUUGAUAUCAAGUCUGCCUAAUGCGAGUAGGCCUAUAAUAAUAAAUCCCCUUUCAUUCAAAGUUUCCUACUUACGGGAAGGAGAACUUCACGCACGCAUUAAAUGGUAGUAGAGCUCCGCCCUCACGACUACUGGAGGGAGGACUGCACGCACUCAUUCAGUGUAAGUUUAAGUGAUCCAAUUAUAAUAAUAUUUUCCAAUCAUGUUUGCAAUGUCUGCUGUGUUCAUCACACAAUCUCUUCGUCUUCCCUUCUUCCUUCUACCCCGCACUUCCCUUUCCAUCGUAUGUCUUCCAGCAUGAUGUUCUUCUCUUCGUAACAGGUGUCCAAACCAUCGAAGCCUUCCCUCCUGUAUUUUCUUAUAUAUUUUAACUAUCUUUGGCGACAAAUAAACAGGGCGUAGUGGAAAGGUUCCACCAAACCCUGAAAUCUAUUCUUACAAAAGUACUGCUAUGAGCAAGGAGAGGAUUUGGGAUAAAGGGCUUCCCUUUGCUCUCUCUGCUAUACGUAAUCAUCCAAAUUGUUCCACGGGUAUCUCUGUUCGAGUUGAUUUUUGGAUACUAAACUAUGGUCCUCUAGAAAUUUUCCUUGAAUUGUUGACAAAGAAUUGAUUAAGAGUUUAAUCAUAAAGAAUUGAAUGUGGGCGAGUUCUUUGAGGACCUGAGAAGGAGAUUAUCGACAGCCUGGAAAUUUGCCCAGGAUCAUUGAGAAUUGUCUAGGGCCUCAAUGAAGGGAAAUUAUGAUAAAAGUAAUGCACGUUCGUUUGAGCCAGAUGAGGUUAGGUAGUGAGUACGUACAGACGCGGACAAUUUUCUGGAACCUUGGAAGGUACACCGGAAAUAAUCUGAUGUUAAAUAUGAAGUGGAAGCUUUUGGGACCAAACGGAAAGUGCCGGAUAUUCCAUAUCUAGACAAGCAAAGUCCUUAUCGAUUAAAUCCAUUAAAGCGAGAUAUUGUCGAGGAGGAGAUAAAGUUAUGUUGGAGCAUGAUUUAAUUAGACCUUCGGUAAGUCCUUGGAGUUCACCUUUGAACUUGGUAAGAAACCUGACGGGCAGUUUCGCAUGUGUAUGGACUUCUGCAAGGUCAAGGUGAAUAUCAAUAUUAAGAAUGACUUUCCCUUUGCCACGUAUCGAGGACUGUCUUGAUCGGAUAGGGAACUGCUAAAAAAGUGGGUUAUUGGCAGGUUCCCCUAUCUAAUUGAGCUCGUGAGAUUUACGCUUUUGUUUAAUGCCCUUUGGGAUGAAGAACCCAGCGUUUGAUGAACAGUUAUUUGUGGUAAGUUUUGACUGUUCCCCAGGAAGGAUUGGUGGUAGUGGAGGCGAAGUAAAUCAAAUCGCCUACUAAUCUCUCUUCGUGAUUACGAUAAAUAUAUUAAGCCAGGAUGUCUGUGAGCAUUCUGGAAAUUUUGUGGUCCUGGGUGGGUUCCCUGAUACAGCGGUUUCUGCUCCUUUGGUGGAAGUAAGUGCAUUCUUCCCAGGGUAUCACAAGGUGACAGAAUUGGCAGUGGAAAAGCUCCCCAUCCCUUCAGCUUGCAGAAUGAGGAUAAACUAAACUCCGUAGCAAUUAUUACUCAGCUUACAGAUUGAGGAUAAAUUAAACUUGAGUAGUUUAGAGGUAUCGGUGGGUCUCCAAGUAGUUUAGAGGUAGAGACCCGGGGUCUGUAGGUGGUGGUAGUAGCAGUGGAAAUAGUAUUAGUUUUGUAAAUCUGAUAAUUAAUCCUGAUUGUGACUAUAAGUUUUAUUGAAGCUCUGAAAGCUGAAUAGAAUUAUGAAAAGAGGGUACGGAUUAUUUAAUAAAACCAAGGUUCUGUGAAUAGAGGUUUGAUGUAGGUUUAGUUGUCCUAGUGAUUGUGGUACCUACAAAAUAUCAGAAUGAUGAAGUCCUUAGGUUAGCACAUGAGGAAUUACUAAAGCCCCUUUGCAUACAAAUCCUGCGAUUGGAGAGCCUUUUGCAGAGAUUGUGUUGUGGUUGGGCCAUUUCCCAGAAUUGAAUCUGGAUUUACUAAUCUUUGUUCAUAAGCAAAUAAACCUUCGGUCUUGAAAUUUUGUCAUUUUAACUAUAUUGGACAGUCAGGUUUCCAGAACUUUUCGUAUGAGGAAAAUUACAGCGUAGGUGGUUUCCAGGUAUGGGUUGUCUCAUGAAAUUCAAACAGAUUGUGGCACGAAUUUCACGAGCAAGAUGUAUUUCGAAGUAAAUGUGCUGAAGUGGUCAUUGCAUCAGCACAUUACCAGUGUACCUUACCACCCAGAGUGUCUGGCCUAGUGCUAGUGGAAAAGGUCCACCAAAUCCUUAAAUUUGAGUUGAUAUUUGGACACUCAGUACACGUGGUCCUCUUGAAGUAUUCCAUGAAUUGAAUCAUAAGAAUUGAAUGUGGGUGAGUUUGUCAAGGACCUUGGGGAGGUUAUCAGCUGCCUGGAAAUUUUCCCAGGAUAAUUUAGAAUCGUCUCUGGCCUCGAUGAAGGAAAAUAAUGAUAAGAAAAUUAAGGCAGGCUCGUUUGAGCCAGGUGAGUUUCUUUAGUUAGAGAGUACAGACUGAAUUUUCCGGCCUAGGUUAUUAUAAAGGGCCUUGGAAGGUACCCCGUAAAUUGUCUGAUGUCAACUAUGACGUGGAAGCUCCUAGGAUCAAACGAAAGUGCUGGAUAUUCUAUAUCAAAAUACAGGCAAAGUCCUUAUUGAUUAAAUCCAGUAAAGCGUGAUAUUGUCGAGUUGGAAAUUGAUUAGACCUUCGGUGAAGUCCUUGAAGUUACUCGAUACCGCAAGGUCAAUGCUAAUACUAAUACUCCCUUUGCCACGUAUCGAGGACUCUUAAUCGGAUACGGUCUGAUAAGUGUAUAACUAAAGUCGAUCAUUUAAAAAAGUUAUUGCCAGGUUCCCCCUAUCUUGAUCGAGCUCGCAAGAUAUCCGCAUUGUGAUGCCCUUUGGUCUUUACGAAUGUAACGUAAUGCCCUGUGGGAAGAAGAACAUUUGGUAAUUUGCCAAGGGACAAAAAUGUGAGAGAUACUUGUUACAAAACUCACAACAGUAUUGAUGUCUUAACGGUUAAGUAAUUUUUUUUUUCUCUUCUCACCUCGCCCUUCUCAUUUCUUCUUCGUAGUGUUAUGAUUGAGUGGUAGAAAAAAAGCUGUUCUAUUUUUAAAAUACAUGUGUCUUUGAGGGAGGAGGAAGGUAUAAAAUUAACUUAAUUUAUUGAUUUUCCUUUUUAGAAGUCCUUUUAUCAGCCUCCUCCCGUUGCCAACUACCUAAUUAUCGCGUUAACGAAUUUUUUUUUCUCCAAUUGCGGUGGAACCAAGUGCUGUAAGUGGAGGCAUUUCAAAGUGACUAUUGGUCUCAAGCCCUUUGAAGGUAUACCCGCCUGAAGAUAUGAGGAAGACCCUGACAUGUUUUCCCGACAACUGUUGGUCUCAAGACCUUGAAAGAUUACCCCCCUGAAGAUUUGAGGAAGAUCUCCUGACACGUAGGAGUUUCAUUUCGUAUUUUCAUCUUUUGUAUGAGUCAUUCUACAACGUCAAAUAUCAGUUUUUCCAUCACCAAAUUAAACGGGUAUCGA
Long non-coding RNA from Macrobrachium nipponense, 3966 nucleotides. RefSeq lists it as uncharacterized. The transcript has 8 exons. Lineage: Eukaryota; Metazoa; Arthropoda; Malacostraca; Decapoda; Palaemonidae. The record is from RefSeq and is a predicted model, not a curated record.